UGGGGAAUCUUAGACAAUGGGCGAAAGCCUGAUCUAGCCAUGCCGCGUGAGUGACGAAGGCCCUAGGGUCGUAAAGCUCUUUCGCCAGGGAAGAUAAUGACGGUACCUGGUAAAGAAACCCCGGCUAACUCCGUGCCAGCAGCCGCGGUAAUACGGAGGGGGUUAGCGUUGUUCGGAAUUACUGGGCGUAAAGCGCGCGUAGGCGGAUUAGUAAGUCAGGGGUGAAAUCCCGGGGCUCAACCCCGGAACUGCCUUUGAUACUGCUAGUCUUGAGUUCGAGAGAGGUGAGUGGAAUUCCGAGUGUAGAGGUGAAAUUCGUAGAUAUUCGGAGGAACACCAGUGGCGAAGGCGGCUCACUGGCUCGAUACUGACGCUGAGGUGCGAAAGUGUGGGGAGCAAACAGGAUUAGAUACCCCCGUAGUCC
This 424-nucleotide ribosomal RNA is filed under the name uncultured prokaryote. RNAcentral describes it as "bacterial SSU rRNA". It matches the Rfam family "Bacterial small subunit ribosomal RNA", at positions 355 to 796 of the family's 1533-position model. The record is from RNAcentral.